This is a long non-coding RNA of Odocoileus virginianus texanus, 1423 nucleotides long. RefSeq lists it as uncharacterized. NCBI's taxonomy places the organism in Eukaryota, Metazoa, Chordata, Mammalia, Artiodactyla, Cervidae. The record is from RefSeq and is a predicted model, not a curated record.
GUACAUGAUGACUCCAAUGGCCCAGCAGUCCACAGGGCGUCCAUACCGCUGCCGGCCUACCACCUCUGGGGCUGCAAACAGGAUCCAUCUGCUGGUGUGCAGCUUGCCUGUCGUCUUGUCCUUGGCCCGGAAGAUCUCACAGAACUCCUCACUGCAGCCAGCAGGCACUCCACUCAGCCCCGGCCUCAGCAUGGGCUGUACUCCACUCCCCUUUCCCCAGCCCUGGCUCGCCCACCCUGGCCCAACAGACCCGGCACUCACGUCUUGAUGACCUGUCCCAAAUCAUAUCUGUCAGUCACCUCCGAUGGCUGGUUAUAGUUCUUCUUGUCGCCCAGAGUCACACACCCAAACGGCAUUGCCGGGCUCUGAGCUGCAGACAGGAUGGGGUCUGCUUCAGAUGUCCCACUCCCCACUUUUCCACACAAUGUAGGGGUUGUCUUUGGGAAACCCCAACCCGGCUCAGAUCAAGCCAGAGGCCACAUCUACACCAGAAAGGGCUAGAGGGUGGUCAGAAUGGGAUCCAACCCCUGCCUUUUUGGCCAUACUUCCAGCCACUCAGCUUGGCUGCCUAAGCUACAGCAGCCCCUGCUUAUGAAAAAUAUAUUAAGCUGACAUAUCCUAGAAUCAUUCCGCAUUAUGUAUAAUCAAAAAGAGAUUUAUCAGAUGAUUGAUUUCAAUUUCAGUGAUUUCACAGAUGAAGGGAGUUGUAGCUGCCCACCCAUCAGAGUCAUCUUCGCAAGUCUAAAGAUGCCAGGCGUUGGCAAAGAUGCGAAGAACAUGAGCACUGCUGGUGGGGGGCAAGUGUCCCAUGUACAAAACAGUUUGGUGAAACUAUUGAAGUCGAACAUUCCCUAAUAACCAGCAAUUACACAGCUGAAUAUACAUCCUACAGAAACAUAUACAUUUGUGCAGCAGGACACUCAUACAAGAGUGCUCAUGGGGCUGCAGUAUUCCGAAUUGCCCCAAACUGGAAACAGCCCACAUACCCUUCAGCAGCGGAUGUAUUGUGGGAGAAUCACACAAUGGAAUAUUAUUACACAACAAUGGAAAUGAGGGGAAUGAGGGAACUACAGCUCUACCCAACCACAUGGUCAAUCUCACCAAUACAAGUGUUGAGUGAAAAACCAGCAAAUACAGAGUUCACAACAGGCAUCACUAAUCUAUACUGUUUAAGGAUACAGACAUACUGGUCAAACUGUAAAGCAACACCAGGAAGUAAACACCUUGAGACCUCCUAAGAGAAAUAAAAGAGGUUGUGAUUGGGGGGGAUUCAGGAGGACCUAUUUAUGAACCUGAGUAGUGGUUUCACAGGUCUGAGCUUUAUAAUAAUUUGGACAAAUGUACAUACACGUAUUGGGUUCAUUCCUAGAUUUUUGUUAUAUUUCACAAGAAAAAAUGUGAAUAAAAAUUAUGGCCAUACAUA